Molecule: ribosomal RNA, 253 nt
Filed under: uncultured Acidobacteriota bacterium
Lineage: Bacteria; Pseudomonadati; Acidobacteriota
Description: uncultured Acidobacteria bacterium partial 16S ribosomal RNA
Rfam family: Bacterial small subunit ribosomal RNA
Source: RNAcentral
UACGUAGGCAGCGAGCGUUGUUCAGAGUUACUGGGCGUAAAGCGUGCGUAGGCGGUGGCCCAAGUCUGGUGUGAAAUCUCCCGGCUUAACCGGGAGGGUGCGCCGGAAACUGGGUUGCUGGAGUGCCGGAGAGGCAGGCGGAAUUCCUGGUGUAGCGGCGAAAUGCGUAGAUAUCAGGAGGAACACCCGUGGUGUAGACGGCCUGCUGGACGGUAACUGACGCUGAGGCACGAAAGCGUGGGGAGCAAACAGG